RNAcentral lists this non-coding RNA (103 nucleotides) under uncultured Anaerovibrio sp. RNAcentral's name for it is "SAM riboswitch (S box leader)". It matches the Rfam family "SAM riboswitch aptamer (S box leader)". Rfam says of the family: The SAM riboswitch is found upstream of a number of genes which code for proteins involved in methionine or cysteine biosynthesis in Gram-positive bacteria. The SAM riboswitch acts at the level of transcription termination control. Lineage: Bacteria; Bacillati; Bacillota; Negativicutes; Selenomonadales; Selenomonadaceae. The record is from RNAcentral.
CUCAUCCAGAGCGGUGGAGGGACUGGCCCUACGAAGCCGCGGCAACCAUUGUCAACAUGACAAAACGGUGCUAAUUCCUGAAGGCAUAGCCUGAAAGAUGAGA